This 280-nucleotide small RNA is filed under the name uncultured Minwuia sp. RNAcentral's name for it is "5' ureB small RNA". It matches the Rfam family "5' ureB small RNA". Lineage: Bacteria; Pseudomonadati; Pseudomonadota; Alphaproteobacteria; Minwuiales; Minwuiaceae. The record is from RNAcentral.
CGAUCAGCUGCGGGCAGAUGAAGUGGAUAUGGGCGUCGAAGCCGCCGGCGGUGAUGAUCUUGCCCUCGCCCGCGAUCGCCUCCGUCCCCGGACCGACGAUGAUGUCCACGCCCGGCUGGGUGUCGGGAUUGCCCGCCUUGCCGAUGCCGACGAUACGCCCGUCGCGGAUGCCGAUAUCGGCCUUGAUGAUGCCGGUAUGGUCGAUGAUCAGCGCGUUGGUGAUGACCGUGUCCACGGCGCCCCCGGCGCGCGACACCUGCGACUGGCCCAUGCCGUCACG